UACGGAGGGUGCAAGCGUUAUCCGGAUUCACUGGGUUUAAAGGGUGCGUAGGCGGGUAUGUAAGUCAGGGGUGAAAUCCCCGAGCUUAACUCGGGAACUGCCAUUGAUACUAUAUAUCUUGAAUACUGUGGAGGUUAGCGGAAUAUGUCAUGUAGCGGUGAAAUGCUUAGAUAUGACAUAGAACACCAAUUGCGAAGGCAGCUGGCUACACAAAUAUUGACACUGAUGCACGAAAGCGUGGGGAUCAAACAGG
This 253-nucleotide ribosomal RNA is filed under the name uncultured bacterium. Its description in RNAcentral is "partial 16S ribosomal RNA". It matches the Rfam family "Bacterial small subunit ribosomal RNA", at positions 524 to 776 of the family's 1533-position model. The record is from RNAcentral.